UAGGGAAUCUUCCACAAUGGACGCAAGUCUGAUGGAGCAACGCCGCGUGAGCGAAGAAGGNNUCGGAUCGUAAAGCUCUGUUGUUGGUGAAGAAGGAUAGAGGUAGUAACUGGCCUUUAUUUGACGGUAAUCAACCAGAAAGUCACGGCUAACUACGUGCCAGCAGCCGCGGUAAUACGUAGGUGGCAAGCGUUGUCCGGAUUUAUUGGGCGUAAAGCGAGCGCAGGCGGAAGAAUAAGUCUGAUGUGAAAGCCCUCGGCUUAACCGAGGAACUGCAUCGGAAACUGUUUUUCUUGAGUGCAGAAGAGGAGAGUGGAACUCCAUGUGUAGCGGUGGAAUGCGUAGAUAUAUGGAAGAACACCAGUGGCGAAGGCGGCUCUCUGGUCUGCAACUGACGCUGAGGCUCGAAAGCAUGGGUAGCGAACAGGAUUAGAUACCCUGGUAGUCCAUGCCGUAAACGAUGAGUGCUAAGUGUUGGGAGGUUUCCGCCUCUCAGUGCUGCAGCUAACGCAUUAAGCACUCCGCCUGGGGAGUACGACCGCAAGGUUG
This 549-nucleotide ribosomal RNA is filed under the name uncultured bacterium. RNAcentral describes it as "bacterial SSU rRNA". It matches the Rfam family "Bacterial small subunit ribosomal RNA", at positions 355 to 896 of the family's 1533-position model. The record is from RNAcentral.